This 476-nucleotide long non-coding RNA is filed under the name Equus caballus (horse). RNAcentral's name for it is "lncRNA (ENSECAG00000037308.2)". Lineage: Eukaryota; Metazoa; Chordata; Mammalia; Perissodactyla; Equidae. The record is from RNAcentral.
CUUCCCCCACCUCCACCCCACCCCCAGCCCCAGGCAUUAGGCUCGGUUUCUCGGGAUCCUGGGCGUUUGCUCAGACCCCGCACAGACUCGCUCACAUUACUUUUUUAAAACAAAAGCAAUUAGAUUUCAAUCCUGGUUCAUUUGCAUUUGCACCUCGGAAACUGGAGAAGGAGGUUGCGGGAGCGAAGGAGAGGGGAGCCCGGCGGCGGCGGGUGACACCUUCCGAGCGCCACAGCUGGCCCGGACUGCCAUUGCGCCGGCCACAUCUGGCCCGGCCGCGCGGCCGCCGCGGCCCCCUCCCCGCCCGCUCCCGGGCCCGCGCGCCGCAGCCCGCUCGGCGGCGCGCUCAUCGAUCGCCGGGGCCGCAGCCGGGCGAGCGGAGAACAAGGAUGCUGGUUCCAGGGAACAGACAAAGCCGAAGCAUGGCGCCUAACUGGGUGACCCCCAGCUCUGCUGCAGCUGAACUUCUCCAGGCC